This 256-nucleotide ribosomal RNA is filed under the name uncultured archaeon. Its description in RNAcentral is "partial 16S ribosomal RNA". It matches the Rfam family "Bacterial small subunit ribosomal RNA", at positions 521 to 776 of the family's 1533-position model. The record is from RNAcentral.
UAAUACGAAGGGUGCAAGCGUUAAUCGGAAUUACUGGGCGUAAAGCGUGCGUAGAUGGUGCGUUAAGUCGGAUGUGAAAGCCCCGGGCUCAACCUGGGAACUGCAUCCGAUACUGGCGGACUAGAGUGUGAUAGAGGAUGGCGGAAUUCCCGGUGUAGCGGUGAAAUGCGUAGAGAUCGGGAGGAACAUCCGUGGCGAAGGCGGCCAUCUGGAUCAACACUGACGUUGAGGCACGAAAGCGUGGGGAGCAAACAGG